CUAUCCUAUCCACUGCGAUUUCGUUACUAUGUCAGAACAAAAUUACCGCGUCGGGAUUUUUCUGUUUGGUGUCGUGUCACCGUCGAAGGUACGGGAACUGGAAGAGAGCAAUUUUGUUCUUUUGCAUGUGCGGUUCAUGCGAUUUGGUGGGAUAUUUGGAUGGAUGGACGUUCAAAGUAUAUAUUGACAGCAUAGGGAAAUUGUUCGUCUAUUAUGUGACAACAUUUGAGAUUCAGAUUCAAUGAGUGCGUAGAGAAACAAACGGACAA
This 269-nucleotide long non-coding RNA is filed under the name Brachypodium distachyon (stiff brome). Its description in RNAcentral is "long non-coding RNA (BDIS_LNC003752)". Lineage: Eukaryota; Viridiplantae; Streptophyta; Magnoliopsida; Poales; Poaceae. The record is from RNAcentral.